AAACGACUCUCGGCAACGGAUAUCUCGGCUCUCGCAUCGAUGAAGAACGCAGCGAAAUGCGAUACUUGGUGUGAAUUGCAGAAUCCCGUGAACCAUCGAGUCUUUGAACGCAAGUUGCGCCCGAAGCCAUUAGGCCGAGGGCACGCCUGCCUGGGCGUCACGCA
This 164-nucleotide ribosomal RNA is filed under the name Schraderanthus viscosus. RNAcentral's name for it is "5.8S ribosomal RNA gene". It matches the Rfam family "5.8S ribosomal RNA". Rfam says of the family: 5.8S ribosomal RNA (5.8S rRNA) is a component of the large subunit of the eukaryotic ribosome. It is transcribed by RNA polymerase I as part of the 45S precursor that also contains 18S and 28S rRNA. The record is from RNAcentral. Lineage: Eukaryota; Viridiplantae; Streptophyta; Magnoliopsida; Solanales; Solanaceae.